CGAGCAGUAGCUCAGUGGUACAGCUUUCGCCUCGUACGCGGGAAGGUCUGGAGGUUCGAUUCCUGGCUGCUUAC
RNAcentral lists this transfer RNA (74 nucleotides) under Toxocara canis (dog roundworm). It matches the Rfam family "tRNA". From Rfam's summary of the family: Transfer RNA (tRNA) molecules are approximately 80 nucleotides in length. The record is from Rfam by way of RNAcentral. Lineage: Eukaryota; Metazoa; Nematoda; Chromadorea; Rhabditida; Toxocaridae.